RNAcentral lists this ribosomal RNA (486 nucleotides) under uncultured bacterium. RNAcentral describes it as "bacterial SSU rRNA". It matches the Rfam family "Bacterial small subunit ribosomal RNA", at positions 28 to 475 of the family's 1533-position model. The record is from RNAcentral.
GAUGAACGCUGGCGGCGUGCCUAAUACAUGCAAGUCGAACGCAUUGUGGUUGAAAUGAUAUGAAGAACUUGUUCAGAUUUGAUUUUCAACAUUGCAAUGAGUGGCGAACGGGUGAGUAACACGUGGGAAACCUACCUCUUAGCAGGGGAUAACAUUUGGAAACAAAUGCUAAUACCGUAUAAUAAUUAAAACCGCAUGGUUUUAGUUUAAAAGAUGGUCUUGCUAUCACUAAGAGAUGGUCCCGCGGUGUAUUAGUUAGUUGGUGAGGUAAUGGCUCACCAAGACAAUGAUACAUAGCCGAGUUGAGAGACUGGCCGGCCACAAUGGGACUGAGACACGGCCCAGACUCCUACGGGAGGCAGCAGUAGGGAAUCUUCCACAAUGGACGAAAGUCUGAUGGAGCAACGCCGCGUGUGUGAUGAAGGGUUUCGGCUCGUAAAACACUGUUGUAAGAGAAGAGUGACAUUGAGAGUAACUGUUCAAUGU